CAGUCGCCGCGGGAAUACGUAGGUGGCAAGCGUUGUCCGGAAUUAUUGGGCGUAAAGGGCUCGCAGGCGGUUUCUUAAGUCUGAUGUGAAAGCCCCCGGCCCAACCGGGGAGGGUCAUUGGAAACUGGGAAACUUGAGUGCAGAAGAGGAGAGUGGAAUUCCACGUGUAGCGGUGAAAUGCGUAGAGAUGUGGAGGAACACCAGUGGCGAAGGCGACUCUCUGGUCUGUAACUGACGCUGAGGAGCGAAAGCGUGGGGAGCGAACAGGAUUAGAUACCCCUGUAGUCCCUGUCUCUUAUAA
Molecule: ribosomal RNA, 301 nt
Filed under: uncultured bacterium
Lineage: Bacteria
Description: partial 16S ribosomal RNA
Rfam family: Bacterial small subunit ribosomal RNA
Source: RNAcentral